UACAAUCGCCACUUCACACAAUUACAAGAAUAAAGCAUUACAUCAACCAGAUACAAUCAAGGUCCGACUACGGAACCAAAAUAAAAGAAGAACCCCAAAUGCGACAAAGGUCCCCGAUCGACCCCAACUGGGCUCCACUACUGACCAACUAGAACGAAACAACACAAAGGGCAAGAUCUUCAUCGAGCUCCUCCUUGAGCUUGGUUGCAUCAUCUGCACGGUAACAUAGGCACCUGCAAACUGGUUAUGGAAGUAUCUGUGAGCCACAGGGACUCAGCAAUCUCGCACCCGCGAGAUCAAGACUAUUUAAGCUUAUAGGAAGGAUGGAGUAAUGAGGUGGAGCUGCAGCAAGCGACUAGCAUAUAUGGUGGCUAACAUACGCAAAUGAGAGCGAGAAGAGAGGGCAAAGCACGAUCGAUAAAAGUAUGAUCAAGAAGUGAUCCUGGACUACCUACGUCAAGCAUAACUCCAACACCGUGUUCACUUCCCGGACUCCGCCGGAAAGAGACCAUCACGGUUACACACACGGUUAAUGUAUUUUAAUUAAGGUCAACUUCGGGUUUUCUACAACCGGACGUUAACAAAUUCCCAUCUGCCACAUAACCGCGGGCACGGCUUUCGAAAGAUAAUACCCUGCAGGGGUGUCCCAACUUAGCCCAUCACAAGCUCUCGCGGUCAACGAAGGAAUAGACCUCCACCCGAGACAUUCCGAUCAGACUCGGUAUCCCGGUACAACAAGACAUUUCGACAGGGUAAAACUAAACCAGCAACACCGCCCGAAUGUGCCGACAAAUCCCGAUAGGAGCUGCACAUAUCUCUUUCUCAGGGCACACUCAGAUGAGACUAGCUACGAGUAAAACCAACCCUCAAGUUUCCCCGAGGUGGCCCCGCAGGCAGCUCAGUUCGGACCAACACUCAGAGGAGCACUGGCCCGGGGGGGUUAAAAUAAAGAUGACCCUCGGGCUGGCCGACCCAAGGGAAAGAAAAGGCUAGGUGGCGAAUGGUAAAACCAAUGUUGGGCAUUGCUGGAAGAGCUUUACUUAAGGCGAACUGUCAAGGGGUUCCCAUUAUAGCCCAACCGCGUAAGGGACGCAAAAUCCGGGAACAUAACACCGAUAUGACGGAAACUAGGGCGGCAAGAGUGGAACAAAACACCAGGCAUAAGGCCGAGCCUUCCACCCUUUACCAAGUAUAUAGAUGCAUUAAUUAAGUAAGAUAUAUUGUGAUAUCCCAACAAGUAAAUAAAUGUCCCGACAAGGAACGGCCUCCAAUCUUCACCUGCAACUAACAACGCUAUAAGAGGGGCUGAGCAAAGCGGGAACAUAGCCAAUCAACGGUUUGCUAGGACAUGGUGGGUUAGAGGUUUGACAUGGCAUUUUGGGAGGCUGACAAGCAAAUGUAGGCAUCGUAGCAUUGGCAUGGCAAAAGAGCGAGCAAACUAGCAUAGCAAAGAUAGUAGUGAUUUCGAGGGUAUGAUCAUCUUGCCUGAAAUCCCGCAAGGAAGAAGAACGAGUCCAUGAAGAAGACAAACGGACGUAGACGAACGAAUCCUCACAACACGACGUUAUCGGAACCAACCCGAAGAAGCAACACCGGAAAAGAGCAAACAACAUAGUAAACAACCACCACAAAAUCAUGGCAUGAUGCACAAUCAAGU
This 1657-nucleotide long non-coding RNA is filed under the name Triticum aestivum (bread wheat). RNAcentral describes it as "long non-coding RNA (TAES_LNC008812)". Lineage: Eukaryota; Viridiplantae; Streptophyta; Magnoliopsida; Poales; Poaceae. The record is from RNAcentral.